Molecule: long non-coding RNA, 386 nt
Organism: Diceros bicornis minor
Lineage: Eukaryota; Metazoa; Chordata; Mammalia; Perissodactyla; Rhinocerotidae
Exons: 3
Source: RefSeq, a predicted model, not a curated record
UAUAUGUUUUCUCCUCCUUUAGCUCAGCCUAACCAUGACCCAAACACUCAUCAUUGCUUAUGUGGAGCAGAUGCUGAUCUCAUUAUGCUCGGCCUUGCUACAUAUGAACCCAACUUUACCAUUAUUAGAGAAGAAUUCAAACCAAACAAACCCAAGCCAUGUGCUCUUUGUAAUCAGUUUGGACAUGAAGUUAAGGACUGUGAAGGUUUGCCAAGAGAAAAGAAGGGAAAGCACGAUGAACUUGCAGAUAGUCUUCCUUGUGCAGAAGGAGAGUUUAUCUUCCUUCGUCUUAGUGUUCUUCGUGAGGUAUGUAGCAAUAAUCACUAGAAUCAGCCCUCUAAAGCAGAGUGCCGUUUCAUAGCUUUAAUGGCAGCAUUCCUUUUUGG